ACUCAAAGGAAUAGACGGGGGCCCGCACAAGCGGUGGAGCAUGGGGAUUAAUUCGUCACUAACCGAAGAACCUUACCAGGGUUUGACAUCCGCGGUAAGUCCGUGAAAGCGGUACCCUCCGGAGCAAUCCGGACCGCGAGACAGGUGUUGCAUGGCUGUCGUCAGCUCGUGUCGUGAGAUGUUGGGUUAAGUCCCGCAACGAGCGCAACCCUCACGUGAUGUUGCCAGCGUAAAGUCGGGCACUCUUCACGAACUGCCCGGGUAACCGGGAGGAAGGUGGGGAUGACGUCAAGUCGGCAUGGCCCUUACAUCCUGGGCUUCACCCAUGCUACAAUGGGCGCGACAGAGGGAAGCAAGGCCGCGAGGCGGAGCCAAUCCCAAAAAGGCGCUCUCAGUUCGGAUUGCAGGCUGCAACUCGCCUGCAUGAAGUCGGAAUCGCUAGUAACCGCCGGUCAGCUAAACGGCGGUGAAUACGUUCCCGGGCCUUGUACACACCGCCCGU
This 502-nucleotide ribosomal RNA is filed under the name uncultured bacterium. RNAcentral describes it as "partial 16S ribosomal RNA". It matches the Rfam family "Bacterial small subunit ribosomal RNA", at positions 899 to 1397 of the family's 1533-position model. The record is from RNAcentral.